RNAcentral lists this ribosomal RNA (460 nucleotides) under uncultured bacterium. RNAcentral describes it as "partial 16S ribosomal RNA". It matches the Rfam family "Bacterial small subunit ribosomal RNA", at positions 338 to 795 of the family's 1533-position model. The record is from RNAcentral.
CCUACGGGAGGCUGCAGUGAGGAAUAUUGGUCAAUGGACGAGAGUCUGAACCAGCCAAGUAGCGUGAAGGAGGACUGUCCUCUGGGUUGUAAACUUCUUUUAUAUGGGAAUAAAAUGUUCCACGUGUGGGAUUUUGUAUGUACCAUAUGAAUAAGGAUCGGCUAACUCCGUGCCAGCAGCCGCGGUACUACGGAGGAUCCGAGCGUUAUCCGGAUUUAUUGGGUUUAAAGGGUGCGUAGGUGGAUUGUUAAGUCAGUUGUGAAAGUUUGCGGCUCAACCGUAAAAUUGCAGUUGAAACUGGCAGUCUUGAGUACAGUAGAGGUGGGCGGAAUUCGUGGUGUAGCGGUGAAAUGCGUAGAUAUCACGAAGAACUCCGAUGGCGAAGGCAGUUCACUGGACUGCAACUGACACUGAGGCUCGAAAGUGUGGGUAUCAAACAGGAUUAGAUACCCCUGUAGUC